CUGCGAAUGGCUCAUUAAAUCAGUUAUCGUUUAUUUGAUAGUACCUUACUACUUGGAUAACCGUGGUAAUUCUAGAGCUAAUACAUGCUAAAAAUCCCGACUUCUGGAAGGGAUGUAUUUAUUAGAUAAAAAACCAAUGCCCUCGGGCUUCUUGGUGAUUCAUGAUAACUUUACGAAUCGCAUGGCCUUGUGCCGGGCGAUGGUUCAUUCAAAUUUCUGCCCUAUCAACUUUCGAUGGUAGGAUAGUGGCCUACCAUGGUUUCAACGGGUAACGGGGAAUUAGGGUUCGAUUCCGGAGAGGGAGCCUGAGAAACGGCUACCACAUCCAAGGAAGGCAGCAGGCGCGCAAAUUACCCAAUCCCGACACGGGGAGGUAGUGACAAUAAAUACUGAUACAGGGCCCUUUCGGGUCUUGUAAUUGGAAUGAGUACAAUUUAAACCCUUUAACGAGGAACAAUUGGAGGGCAAGUCUGGUGCCAGCAGCCGCGGUAAUUCCAGCUCCAAUAGCGUAUAUUAAAGUUGUUGCAGUUAAAAAGCUCGUAGUUGAACUUUGGGUCUGGGUAACUGGUCUGCGUCUACCGCACGUACUGGAAACCCGGAUCUUUCCUUCUGGAGAACCGCAUGCACUUUACUGGGUGUGCCGGGAAACCAGGACUUUUACUUUGAAAAAAUUAGAGUGUUCAAAGCAGGCAUUUGCUCGAAUACAUUAGCAUGGAAUAAUAAAAUAGGACGUGCGGUUCUAUUUUGUUGGUUUCUAGGACCGCCGUAAUGAUUAAUAGGGAUAGUCGGGGGCAUCCGUAUUCGAUUGUCAGAGGUGAAAUUCUUGGAUUUUUCGAAGACGAACUACUGCGAAAGCAUUUGCCAAGGAUGUUUUCAUUAAUCAGGAACGAAAGUUGAGGGAUCGAAGACGAUCAGAUACCGUCGUAGUCUCAACCAUAAACUAUGCCGACUAGGGAUUGGGCGACUGUGUUAUUUGAGUUGCUCA
This 985-nucleotide ribosomal RNA is filed under the name Lamprospora campylopodis. RNAcentral describes it as "SSU rRNA". It matches the Rfam family "Eukaryotic small subunit ribosomal RNA", at positions 87 to 1082 of the family's 1831-position model. Lineage: Eukaryota; Fungi; Ascomycota; Pezizomycetes; Pezizales; Pyronemataceae. The record is from RNAcentral.